UCCAUUAUCGUCUAGUGGUUUAGGAUGUGGCCCUUUCACGGCCGAGACCGGGGUUCGAUUCCCCGUAAUGGAG
This 73-nucleotide transfer RNA is filed under the name Amphiamblys sp. WSBS2006. It matches the Rfam family "tRNA". From Rfam's summary of the family: Transfer RNA (tRNA) molecules are approximately 80 nucleotides in length. Their secondary structure includes four short double-helical elements and three loops (D, anti-codon, and T loops). The record is from Rfam by way of RNAcentral. Lineage: Eukaryota; Fungi; Microsporidia; Amphiacanthidae.